Molecule: long non-coding RNA, 4712 nt
Filed under: Marmota monax (woodchuck)
Lineage: Eukaryota; Metazoa; Chordata; Mammalia; Rodentia; Sciuridae
Source: RNAcentral
UGCCUCUGGUGUCUGAGUGGGUUUCACUGGUGUCUUUCAGGUUGGGAAAAAUAGCAGCCUAGCUUUGUCACAAUCCAGUCCUUCAAGCAUAUCCAGCCCAGGACACAGCCGACAGGUAAGUUAAUGGGGGUCACGAUGAUCCACAGAGUCCAUAACAGGGCAAAAAGAGUGGGCUGGGCAUUGGGGUCAGAGGUCAGACCCUAAUUCAAACCUCACCUCUAGUUAAGAGUGUGAUUACCUGGCUCCCAAACCUAGCUAGGCCUUCUCGUUAUUAACUUUACUCCUUGAACAAGUUACUUAACUUCUCUGUGCUUCCAUUUCCUCAUGUAUAAAGGGGAGCCCCUCAUGGCCACUAACGCCGUAAGGCUCUUGGGAGAAUUAAAUUAGUUUAUUCACAUAAAAUCUCUGGAAAAUGCCUGGCACGCAGCAAACACACAAGUGUUAGCUGUUAUUAUUAUUAUCAGAUGUGUGAUUGUAGGCAGAUUGCUUCUCUGGGUCUCGGUUUUUUCAUCAGUUAAGUGCCAAAAUUGGGCUGGCAGGGUAGCCUCGUGGUAGAACACUUGCCUGGUACACAUGAGGUCCUGAGUUCAAUCCUGAGUGCUGCAAAAAAAAAAGAAAAGGGCAAAAUUGAUGCUUACGUCCUCAUAGCAUUGUGAAAUUUAAAUAAGAUGAUGUUGAUUAAAGGGCUUACUCGUGACAUUUAUCAGUCUGUGCUUUCUCAAAGGCCUGAUGAACUGUACUUGUCUUUCAAGAUGUGGUUUCAUGCUAGGCAUAUUCAGGAUAGAUUUAGCAGUUUUUAUGAACUUGAGGUGUGAGAGUAGUCAACGUACAAGCUCAGGGAUAUGAUUUUUCUCAGUGGAGUGUGUGUGCGUGUGUGUGUGUGUGUGUGUGUGUGAAGAAAGCAAGGAGGGUCAGGGGUGGGGUUGUGCCUCAAUUACAUGUCUUGUUGUUUUGGACAUGCAGUCAUGUUUUAUAGACACUAAAGAGCAACAUGUUUGUGUUUUGCCCUUUGAGAUUUUCCCACAAAUCUUGGGUAGAGUGUAGGGAAAAAAGAUUACGGGGAAACUUUUUGUAUCCCUAGAUGCAAAGGGUCUCCCCACUAUUUUGAGUGGCUAUGGGCCUCUUUGCACUUGAGCCUCUGCAGCCUAUCAUCUGUGCUAGUCUGGGAGGGUGGCGCCUCUAUGCUUAGUCAGCUUCUGUGGUGGGGGGGGCCCUGGCAGAGGUUGCUGAGUGUGUCUAGAGAAUACAUUUUCACCCUCACCAAGCAUGUGUCCAUAGCUCCAGGUCCCUUGCUGGGAAAACGAAUGCUGGCAGUGAGACUUAAUAAAUAUGGAAUAAUACCAACAGCUACUACUUGGUGAGCACUGUCUCUGCAGCUGUGCUAAGCCCUUUACAUACUGUAUGUACAUACUUGUAACAACCCCAUGAGGGACAAGAGUAUACUCCUGUGAUAGAUGGAGAUGGCUGUCCUAAGAAGCUAAGUAACUUGAACCCAAAAUCUUGCUUCUCUAAAGCCUCUGUAUUUAACCCAAUGGUAUACUCCUUCCUUAGAUAAUUCACUGGGCCAUCUGUAGGUUAUGUAGGAAAAGGUGAACCAAUAGAGGGGGAAAAAAUGAAGACAUCACUUAUUCCAGUCCUCUCUCCAGGAGAGGAGUUCCAGGAAUGUCCACUGCAUUUGUCCCUGUGUUUUCCUCCAGUCCUAGGAUCAUGGUGACUACAUAACAUAUCUGGAGUCCUUUAUAGCCAUCACCUCAUUUGCUUAUUACAGCUGUCCUUUGCCAUGUACUGGAGGUAGGAUGUUAUCCUUUCUGUUAUGGUUGAGAAAACUGAGGCUCCAUCCUUGAAUUUUCAUGGGCUAUCCCAAAUGUAUGGUUUUGAAACAAGUUUUUCUUUUCUUUCCUAGAAGAACACAAACAGAAUGGGCAGGAUAAGGACUCUUCCAUAACAAGACUAUGAAGCCACUUCCAAAACAAUUCCUGGUUGUGAUCCCACCCCAGGAGGCCAUGGCAGGAGGAGGAGGGAGGGGAGUGGGCCCUUGGGGAGUGUCUCUUCCCUAUGCCCUGCCUGUGGCUCUGGCCUUUCUUCUUCUUUUUUUUUUUUUUAAUGAUCAAUUUUUUUUGUUGUUUUUGAAGAAACAGAAAAAGGCAAAAGAACGUGGAUUUGAAACUUUCAGAAAACAAUACCAGUGUUUUCUUUCCAUUUUUCAUUUGCCACAUUUAUACAUUCUUCCAAAUUUGGGGUCACUUCCCUCACUCCUGAUGCUGCUACCCCACCAUAAUUUUGCUUCUGCCCUGAGAGCAGACGUCGCAGAAUGUCAGUUCUGGGUUGGCGCCGUCUGAACCUCUUGAACUUUAGCACAUGCAGAGCUCUUCUUCCUUGUUCUCUCCCACCGCAUCCCUCCCAUCCCCAACCUGCCACUCACAGGGCAGGAGGGGCCCACUGGCCAUCAGAAGUGGCUGGAUCCCACCAGUACCCCCUGGACAGCAUGCUGGUGAAGGGGUUUUGUUAGGGAGGAUCCUGAGAGGAAAGAGCCAGAGGGUAUGUGAGUGCCCUCAACAGAUUUCUGCAGCCCAGCAGGCAAAAUUGAGAACAUUGGCUGCUUAAUGACCUGGUUUACCAAUACCAGUGUCUAGCUGUACAGCUCAGAAAAGACAUACAGGAGAAGCAGAGGGGACCUGGAAGAGUGGCAGAAAGCAGAACCUGGCCAGUAGGAGACAAUGUCCCUUAAAAAAUGGUGGGGACCAAGUAACUGUGACGGUCUGAGCUUGUUAGGAAUCAAUUCUGCAGAAUCCCUUCCAGGGCACGGUGUGCAGGUUCCCAAAGUUGAGUGAGUCAGAGAUGGAGGAAUCCCAGGGGAAAGGCCACUGAACCAAAAAAGUCACUCCAUCAGGAAGCAUGGUGAUCUUCAGCUAAAGGUUCUCAAGUUGCCCUCUGGGGACAGGAAAGAUCCUCAAGGGGAAAGCCUCCAUGGAGGAUCAUGUAUCAAAUCCCUUGUGAAAAUAAAUACUAGCAUUGCCCACUCAUGCCCAGAGGGGAGCUUGCAUUGCCCACCUACACCCAGAAGUGAGCAUGCAUUCUGUUCUCAGAUGCCCCAACUCAGACAGCCACCCCUGAGAAGGAAUGGUAAGGACGUGCCAUCGCUUAGUGAAGAGCCAUUUGGAAGAGCUGAAGAGAGACAUUGGAGCAUCGCAGCUAUGAAGUUUUUCACACUGGAGUUUUGAAAGAAACAGCAAUACCAUAAACUCUAAUAAGGAAUCAUCAUCAGGAAUGGAAUUCCUAAUGUGAAAUAGGUGUUCUGUGCUAUUAAUUAAUCUUAUAAGUUUGCAUACAACAGAGAUGCUAGGAGGUUCUCUUUCAUCCUGAAAUCAGAAAUGCUAGUCUCGCGGCUGGGUGCAACCCCCAAUCCCAAGGUUUUCCUUUAUUUUCCCAUCCCCCAACCCAAAGAUCAGACUACUGUUAAGUUUCACCACACGAUUGGAAUCUGCAAAGGUGGGAGGCCAACGGAGUGAUCUGCAUUGAUGGAAUUGCACUGACAGUAUUUCUUAUAGGAUUACUAAAUUUUUUAAUAUAAAAAAAGAUUUUUUUAAAAAUCAGGAGUUGAUAUUAAGUACCAGGACAUUAGUUCAGAUGAUUUCAUUUUUAUUUCAACAGUGUUAAAAGUGCACUUAUAUGCUGGUUUAUUUGAGUCUUGGAAAAAAGAGACUGCAAAUUGAAGGGACGAUUGUUAACUUUUUCUUUAAAAAAAAAAAAAAGGUUAAGGCAGAUUUUAAGACUUAUAAAUGUUUAAGAAAUUAUAAACAAGGUUAGACCCUUUGAAAAAAAAGUUUAGAAGCUAUUCUUAAAGUAAAUUUUUAUAGUGUUAAUUUUGUAAUAAUUUAUGUUUUACUAUAUUACAGAGCUAACUGACCAGAAUAGUUUCAGAAACAAUAUGAAACUUAGGAAAGUUUAAGCAAUGUUUAUAUUUUUAAAAUGUUCUUUGAAUUAUGUUUUUAUUGUAUGUUUCUUCAGACCGAAAAGUAUGUACAUAUCUUUGUUAUUUUUGCACAAUUUUUGUCUUGUUCGGUUUUAGAAGUCUGAUGUUUUUUAUAAUUUAUUUUGAGUUUUAAAACUUGCAGGAGUAGAAACAAAACCAAUCUCAGCAACAAAAUAACCCUCUGAUUUAUAAACUUUUACACUCGAAGAGGGAAAACAAAGGUUGAGAGAUGAAGUGGCUGCUUCUGAGAAAUAGUGUCUCAACAGGGACUGAUGGAGCGGGUUCAACAUUUUAGCUCCCUGCGUCUUGAAAUGGAAGCUGGAAUAAAGAGGUUCCUCACCAAAUGCUGCUUACUUUCUUGAAAAACUGGCUCUGACCAAGGUGAGGACAUUUAUGGAUAACUGAGCAAAAAGGGAAAACCCACGGUAUUUCUUCUUUCGCAAUCAACCACAGGUUUACUUUGUAAUGAUGUAUUAAAACUUGCAGCUUGAAAAGUGGAAUGCAAAUAAAGGUUUUCUUUGGGUUUAUUUUCAUGGAGUUCAACUGGACCAGCCUAUAAAGCAUCUUUAGGGUGGUAUCCUUUGGGUCCUUCUGUUCUGCACACCCCCAAACAGCCUUCUCUCCCAGCCCCUUGACUGCACACACCCCUAUUUGCCUGAAGAUCUCCUGACUUGUCGCCAGCCAUAGAGGCUCGAAAGCUCUGGUUAAACAUAACGCAAUGCAUAGACCUGUCAGCCAU